AAGUCGUAACAAGGUUUCCGUAGGUGAACCUGCGGAAGGAUCAUUAAUGAAUGAUAAUUUUUUGGGGUUUUCCCUGAAAAAUAAUUCACCAUUUGUGCAUUGUUAUUAGAUAUACUUUGGUUAGAGCUUUGAUUUCAUUUAUUGGAAUCAACUUCUUGCUGACUCUAUCCUUUUUAAAGGACAGUUGACUAUGAAGCGGCCUACCAAGGUUUUUUAUCAAACUCUUGUAUUUUAUCUGACCUAAACUAUUAUAAUUAAACCAUAACUUUCAACAACGGAUCUCUUGGCUCUC
This 292-nucleotide unclassified non-coding RNA is filed under the name fungal sp. RNAcentral describes it as "partial internal transcribed spacer region". The stretch from base 1 to 46 matches the Rfam family "Eukaryotic small subunit ribosomal RNA", at positions 1786 to 1831 of the family's 1831-position model. The record is from RNAcentral. Lineage: Eukaryota; Fungi.